RNAcentral lists this ribosomal RNA (114 nucleotides) under Mus caroli (Ryukyu mouse). The record is from RNAcentral. Lineage: Eukaryota; Metazoa; Chordata; Mammalia; Rodentia; Muridae.
GCAGGAAUCUCAACCACCCUCAAUGUGCCAAAUCUCACCUGAUCUCAUCAACUAAGCAGGGUCGGGCCUGGUUAGUACUUGGAUGGGAGACCACCUGGGAUACCAGGUGCUGUA